RNAcentral lists this long non-coding RNA (564 nucleotides) under Musa acuminata (dwarf banana). Its description in RNAcentral is "long non-coding RNA (MACU_LNC006734)". The record is from RNAcentral. Lineage: Eukaryota; Viridiplantae; Streptophyta; Magnoliopsida; Zingiberales; Musaceae.
UCGUUCGGCAUGUGUGUGCUCGAGAUGCUCACUUCUGAGUACCCCUACAGCGAAUGCUUCAAUCCAGCUCAAAUCUACAAGAAAGUCACUUCGGUAAGAAACUGCAGGGUGUCUAAUCUCAUGACCUUCGAUUUCUCCAUUCAAUUCCGGCACUGAAACCUUGAGCUGCGGGAAUGCUUGUUCGUCCAGGGAAAGCUGCCGGACGCAUUCCACCGCAUCAAAGAUCCCGAGGCCAAGCGAUUCAUCGGAAGAUGCCUCGAAAACGUCGCGAAGAGAUCAUCGGCCAAGGAGCUCCUUCUCGAUCCCUUUCUCGCGUUAGAUGAUCAUCAUGUCCCAAUGUUGCCCUUGAAGAACAUUCCUGUCCAUGUAGUUAAGGACAUGAGAUCACGAGGCCAUGACCACCUGCACUUGCUCGAGGCCGGCGACGUUACCUGCACCGCGAGGAGAACUGACAUGACUAUCACGGGGAAGAUGAAUCCGGAGGGCGACACCAUCUUCCUUAAAGUUCAGAUUGCUGACAGAGAAGGUACAGAGCUCAGCUGUGAUAGAAAUCAUAUCAGGAGC